AGAAUUAUAGUCAAUUAUGAUUUAUGAUUUGCACUCAUAAGGUGUCCAAGACUAAUUUUA
RNAcentral lists this transfer RNA (60 nucleotides) under Faxonius punctimanus. RNAcentral describes it as "tRNA-Ala". The record is from RNAcentral. Lineage: Eukaryota; Metazoa; Arthropoda; Malacostraca; Decapoda; Cambaridae.